GAUGAAGAACGUAGCGAAAUGCGAUACUUGGUGUGAAUUGCAGAAUCCCGUGAACCAUCGAGUCUUUGAACGCAAGUUGCGCCCGAAGCCACUAGGCCGAGGGCACGCCUGCCUGGGCGUCACACGCCGUUGCCCCCCCAUCUACUCCUUCGGGAUUGCGGGGGGGCGGAUGAUGGCCUCCCGUGCGCCUAGCCGCGCGGUUGGCAUAAAUACCAAGUCCUCGGCGACGCACGCCACGACAAUCGGUGGUUGCGAAACCUCGGUUGCCCGUCGUGUGCGUUCGUCGCGCAUCGAGGGCUCGAAAAAAUGCUCGGCUCCGGCUGGGCUUUCAACGCGAGCCCAGGUCAGGCGGGGUUACCCGCUGAAUUUAAGCAUAUCAAUAAGCGGAGGA
This 391-nucleotide unclassified non-coding RNA is filed under the name soil metagenome. RNAcentral describes it as "partial contains 5.8S ribosomal RNA, internal transcribed spacer 2, and large subunit ribosomal RNA". The stretch from base 1 to 122 matches the Rfam family "5.8S ribosomal RNA", at positions 35 to 154 of the family's 154-position model. The record is from RNAcentral.